RNAcentral lists this long non-coding RNA (1049 nucleotides) under Gossypium raimondii (Peruvian cotton). Its description in RNAcentral is "long non-coding RNA (GRAI_LNC005593)". The record is from RNAcentral. Lineage: Eukaryota; Viridiplantae; Streptophyta; Magnoliopsida; Malvales; Malvaceae.
CCAUCUUCUCUCUGCCGUUUCAGACCCCUCUCACUCCGAUGACGACGGAACGAAGAGGUCUUUCGGCAACACUCACAAUGGUAAGUCCUUCUCUAUCUUUUCCUUUCCGUUUUGUACACAAAAUAAUAAAUCAAAGGGAAAAAAAUGAAAAAACGAACCAAAUAGAAAAUCACCUUCUAAAAAACUUUUUCUUUCUCUUCGAUUUCUCUCUGUUUUCGUUUUUUAAUAAUUUUGAUACAAUCUUUGUUCCCCCUUUCAAUACAAAAGAUCGGCUGUUUUAUAGCCCAAAAAAUAACCUAUUUCCUUGUUUUUUGUUGUUUUACAUUGUUUGGACUCUUUAAAAUCCGUCUUGCAGGUGAUCGUGAGAGCACUCGCGGGGAAGGCACGCAAGGGGCGGCGACGAACGUGGCUGCUGUUGAAGGCGGCGGCUAGUGGUUUUCUUCUGCUUAGGGUGUCUGUUAUUUUUUUUUGAUUUUUGGGCUAGGUUUAGUUUGGGCUUAGGUUUAGUUUAUUGGGUUUAUUUAUUUGCUUGGGCCCGGGCAUUAUUGGGCUUGUACAUCCAUCGCACAACAAACGCUCUGGUAGACAUAAUAGCCACUGAGAGUUUGAAGAAAAUGAAAGGGUUUUACCUGGAAUGUGCAGUACCAAGUCAUGCAGUUAAAGCUCUGGAAGACGAUUGGAUCAGAGAACCAGACUGAAGCUUUGCAAGGAAGAUAGUGUUUGCUCCCGGGGAAUCAAAACGUCGGAGAAGAAAUGUUGUGUGAAGGAAAUGACUAAUUGGAAAUCAGGGGAGCGUUUUUUUGGAUGGAAAAGGAAGUUUUGGGAAAGAGAGAUCGUCAGGCACUUAUGCUGGACAGUUGAUGGGACGGAUAAUGACUUUUCCGAGGAAGUGGGCUUUAAAUUAGUUGUUUUCUCCUUUAUAAAUGUUUGCUGUUAUUGUAAAGUUUGUUAGGUUUGGGAAGUGGGCCGUGUAGUGGCUCUUGGACACAAAACAUAGUUUUCUGUUCACAUUGAUUUUAUUUUAUAAAGCCCAGUUUAAUUUUGCUCAA